GCCGGGUAUAGUGGCUAAUGCCUGUAAUCCCAACACUUUGGGAGGCUGAGGCAGGUGGAUUGCCUGAGGUCAGGAGUUCAAAACCAGCCUGGCCAACAUGGCAAAACCCUGUCUCUA
RNAcentral lists this non-coding RNA (117 nucleotides) under Pan paniscus (pygmy chimpanzee). The record is from Rfam by way of RNAcentral. RNAcentral also lists the same sequence under 1 other name. Lineage: Eukaryota; Metazoa; Chordata; Mammalia; Primates; Hominidae.